CUCUUCAGUAAUAGUAAAUUUCUUGCUCUUUCUCUUAUCUCCUGCUCUUUGUUCUUUCUUUACCCGUGUAUAAUUGAGAGAGAGAAUCAUCUUCUUCCUCUUCUUAAUUUUCUUCUUUUCCUCUUGCUCUUUCUCUUUCCUUUUCCAUCCGAGUCUCUAAGAGACGAUCGUGGGGAGAAGGGAGAGCCAGAAAGUGAGGGAGAGGGGAACACUGAGAGGAGAGAAUCGGAGAGGUGAUCUGAAAGAGAGACCCGGUUUCCCCUUCCUUCUCCCUAUCUCCUUCUUCUUCUCUUCUUUUUUGAAACAGAGAGGGAAACCGAGAGACCCGUGAGAGAGUGAAAAAGAGAGAGAGGCAGAAUCGAGAGAGAGAAAGAGAGACGGAGAGAAAGACCGAUUGGUGAGGGAGGUCCCCAGAAGGAGCGAAUCCGGCGGACCCGUGCGUAGAGCCAACGAACGGAAACCCGACCGGAAGCCCGAUUUCCGGUGGGACGACGGCAGGCUGACGGCGUCGUCCAGUAGUCCAGUGACGAUUUCCGGCCAAUUUCGGUGGGUCAACAGCGAGUCAACAGUGGGUUGUCGGAGGAUGCGUUUCCCGAUGAGAUUGGAGGCGAUUUCCGGCGGUUCUGGCUGGAAAUCCGGCGACUUCCAGUGGUGAUUUCCCGAUGACGAGCUAAGAGACUGCGGAACUGUUGUUUAAUAGACAAAGAUUAGAGCUCAAGAGGUCUUAAAGCUAAGGAUACAUAGUUUGUAUUUUGUUUGUAGUCUUCUGUGUUUAUAACAUUUUAUGUUGACAAGAUUGCUAAUGAUUUCCAUGUAUUCCUUUGUGUUACUAUUGACACUUGUUUCCAUGUAAUUGUUCUAAGUGUUUACUUUAUAAAUGUCUAGAAGUAUUCCAGUUAGAA
Long non-coding RNA from Alnus glutinosa, 902 nucleotides. RefSeq lists it as uncharacterized. The transcript is spliced from 3 exons. Lineage: Eukaryota; Viridiplantae; Streptophyta; Magnoliopsida; Fagales; Betulaceae. The record is from RefSeq and is a predicted model, not a curated record.